GCCUGCAGGAUAGCUCAGUCAGUAGAGCAUGAGACUCUUAAUCUCAGGGACAUGAGUUCGAGCCCCACAUCGGGCA
Podarcis lilfordi (Lilford's wall lizard) is the source of this 76-nucleotide non-coding RNA. The record is from the annotation of a GenBank genome assembly. NCBI's taxonomy places the organism in Eukaryota, Metazoa, Chordata, Lepidosauria, Squamata, Lacertidae.